AAACCAACAGGGAUUGCCUUAGUAGCGGCGAGUGAAGCGGCAAAAGCUCAAAUUUGAAAUCUGGCACUUUCAGUGUCCGAGUUGUAAUUUGAAGAAGGUAUCUUUGGGUCUGGCUCUUGUCUAUGUUUCUUGGAACAGAACGUCACAGAGGGUGAGAAUCCCGUGCGAUGAGAUGACCCAGACCUAUGUAAAGUUCCUUCGAAGAGUCGAGUUGUUUGGGAAUGCAGCUCUAAGUGGGUGGUAAAUUCCAUCUAAAGCUAAAUAUUGGCGAGAGACCGAUAGCGAACAAGUACAGUGAUGGAAAGAUGAAAAGAACUUUGAAAAGAGAGUGAAAAAGUACGUGAAAUUGUUGAAAGGGAAGGGCUUGAGAUCAGACUUGGUAUUUUGUAUGUUACUCUUUCGGGGGUGGCCUCUACAGUUUACCGGGCCAGCAUCAGUUUGGGCGGUAGGAGAAUUGCAAAGAAAUGUGGCACUGCUUCGGUAGUGUGUUAUAGUCUUUGUCGAUACUGCCAGCCUAGACUGAGGACUGCGGCU
Molecule: ribosomal RNA, 534 nt
Filed under: Lodderomyces metapsilosis
Lineage: Eukaryota; Fungi; Ascomycota; Pichiomycetes; Serinales; Debaryomycetaceae
Description: eukaryotic LSU rRNA
Rfam family: Eukaryotic large subunit ribosomal RNA
Source: RNAcentral